This 495-nucleotide ribosomal RNA is filed under the name uncultured bacterium. RNAcentral describes it as "partial 16S ribosomal RNA". It matches the Rfam family "Bacterial small subunit ribosomal RNA", at positions 28 to 507 of the family's 1533-position model. The record is from RNAcentral.
GAUGAACGCUGGCGGCGUGCCUAAUACAUGCAAGUAGAACGCCGAAGGAGGAGCUUGCUCUUCUGGAUGAGUUGCGAACGGGUGAGUAACGCGUAGGUAACCUGCCUGGUAGCGGGGGAUAACUAUUGGAAACGAUAGCUAAUAUCGCAUGACAACAGUUAUUGCAUGAUAACUGUUUAAAAGGGGCAACUGCCCCACUACAAGAUGGACCUGCUUUGUAUUAGCUAGUUGGUGAGGUAACGGCUCACCAAGGCGACGAUACAUAGCCGGCCUGAGAGGGUGGUCGGGCAAACUGGGACUGGGACACGGCCCAGGAUCCUACGGGAGGCAGCAGUAGGGGAUCUUCGGCAGUGGACGGAAGUCUGACCGAGCAACUCCGCGUGAGUGAAGGAGGGUUUCGGAUCGUAAAGCUCUGUUUUAAGAGAAGGACGAGUGUGAGAGUAGAAAGUUCACGCUGUGACGGUAUCUAACCAGAAAGGGACGGCUAACUACGUG